This is an RNA transcript of Oreochromis niloticus (Nile tilapia), 3709 nucleotides long. RefSeq lists it as uncharacterized. The record is from RefSeq and is a predicted model, not a curated record. Lineage: Eukaryota; Metazoa; Chordata; Actinopteri; Cichliformes; Cichlidae. The transcript has 4 exons.
UCGAGACCAUGUUAGUAAACUGCACGCUUUAGUUGUGAAGCAAAAGCGCUGAAAUCGGAGUAAUAGCACGUACGAAGGGGAUGAUAACGACGACUAGAUUCUCCCGAUCGUUUACCCUUGCUGUCCUGUGAAAAACAUCGGCGUAGUGUUAAUUGUUUGCUGUUUUCGCGAUCGCGUCGCGCAUGAGAAUAUCACCAGUUUCCAGCAUUACAUGAUGAAACCUAAAGGACUGGCUAUUGCAGUUGUGGCUCAGUAUGUCAUCAUGCCUCUUACAGCCUUUUUCAUAGCUAAGGUGUUCCAGUUCAGUGAUAUAACAGCUGUGGUUAAUCUGGUCUGUGGCUGCUGUCCUGGAGGAACUCUCUCUAACACCCUGACUCUGGGUCUACAGGUGGACAUGAACCUCAGAAUCUACCUUCUCUCACCUCAACCAGUCCUGGCGGAUGGCCGCCCCUCCCUGAGCCUGGUUCUGCCAGAGGUUUCUUCCUGUUAAAAGGGAGUUUUUCCUUCCCACUGUCGCCAAACUACUUGCUCAUGGGGGAUCAUAUGAUUGUUGGGUUUUUCUCUGAAUGUAUUAUUGUAGAGUCUACCUUACAAUAUAAAGCAUCUUGAGGUUACUGAAUUGAAAUAAUGAGGAGUUUUACUGGUGUACCUAAUAAAGUGGCUGAUGAGUACAUAUGGGAACUGGAGGAACCAGGUCAAAACAAACUUCAGUAAGUGUGUAUCUAAAGUGUUUUUGGACAAUAACAAGGUUCUAUAUAACUUCUGUACUUCUUAGUGUAUCCGUUUAUUCUUCUUUUCAUUGAGUUUGAUGAGAAUAAUUAAAAUAUAGAACAACAUAAUUCAAGUCAAGUCAAGUUGGCUUUAUUGUCACUUCAGCCAUAUACAGUUUGUACACAGUGAGGCGAAACAGCGUUCCUAAUUAAUUGUUAAAGAUAUAAAACAAGAAUAGAAGCUAAACAAUGAUUUGCUUCCUAUCUUGUUGUUCUCAGGUAUCACUACACUCAAAAAAAUGAAAUUGGGUGGUUGUUGCAUGUACAAGAUUCAAACUUGUAAGUUGAACUAAAUGAUUUCAUGUUUCUAUGGUGAAAGUAACUAAAUCAUGUAGCAUCUGCAUGAAAUUCAGCAACUUAAUUUGUUCUUGUUGAGAUGACAUGAUACAAUCUAGUAAGAGUGGUUAGUUGCCUGGACUCACGAAAUUCACAAGAUCACAUUAGAUGUCAAACUGCAGGAAAAUCGCUGCAGUUUUAAGAGGCAGACAACAACACCCACACCACGUGUAUGCUAUCGCUAUUUAUUGUGGUUUAACCUGUCGAGGACAAAAACGUACAGAGAAUUCUGCAUCAAGCCUUGUAAUCAUAGCUUUCCUAGUUUUGUUAAGCCUGGAUUGACAGCUUGGUGACGUGAUGGUUAGUGCUGUUGCCUCACAGCAAGAAGGGCCUGGGUUCAAAUCCACAAUCCAGCUGGUUUGCAGUGUGUAAGUAGAGUUAAUUGGUGAUUCUAAAUUACCCAUGAAUGUAAGUGCAAAUAGUUGUUUGCUAUGAAAUCAUCAACCCCCAUAUUGGUUCAUUAAGCAAGACUAGCAGUUAUUCCCUUGAUUAACAAAGUAGUUGUUCAAACAACAAGAUUUCAUUUCAUUCAUUCAUUAAAUCACUUCAAGUCAAUGUAAGAAUACUACAUCUGAUUACAUUAAACCACCAAAUGCCAAAUGUGUUGGUUUGACAUGGUCAAAAAUGGGUUAUUGUACUUGGUUAAAUCACGUGGAAAUAGGUGCCAUGAUUAAAUUGUGUUCAUCCAACAACAGAUUUUUUUUUGAGUGUAUAAUGGUGAUUUUUUUUUUUCGUGGCGAUCUUUAUCUUAACAUGCAUUGAAAAUGGAGACAUUGCCAAGGCUGUGCUGUCUCCUUCACUCUUGGCCACUGGUGCUCUCAUGCCUUUCAUGGGCUUCUCCUUUGGAUAUCUGUUCUCUGGGAUCUUCAGACUCGGCCAUGCGUAAGUGGGUUUAUUCAGUCACUGACAGAUAUUGUUAGCGGUCAUAUGAGCCUUUCUGUAUCUCUCUCUCUCUCACUAUAUAUAUAUAUAUACAUAUAUAUAUAUAUAUAUAUAUAUCACAUGUGAAUUACUCUAUCUGCCCUCAGGGAAUGGAGGACCGUUUCUAUGGAAACAGGCUGCCAGAAUAUCAUGCUGGGCUCCACCACAUUGAAGAUUGCUUUCCCCCAGGAAGUGAUAGGCGGUCUACAUGGUGUUUCAGCUGUUGGAGGGGAUGGUUCUCACCGUGCUGUUUAGGUGCUAAAAGAGAAAGUAGAAAGGUAAGCGUGAUAGCAGGUUUCAGAGUUUGCAUGUUGACAAAGGCCUUUUACGUCUAUUAACAGCAUAAUAUUGUAUUUUCACAAAGGGGUAAUAGUUCAAAUGUAUUGUUCCAUGCAUCGUUGUGUGUAGCAGGCAGGUUAGGACCCAAAUGCAGGACUCUCAGGAUAGACUGAACUUAACAACAGCUUUAUUUAACACUUAACUAAUUACAAGGACCUUAAAUGGCAGGAACUCCAGCGUGGUAAUAAGGAUUUUUAAAAGAUGUGCACAAAGCUGCAUCUGGUCAGUCGGGAAAACCACCCUGACUGAUAAGAGAUAUUUGUACCUUCAUGCAAUAAAGAGGACACAUAUGUUGUAUCACAAGAGGGCUGAUCAAUUUGUUUUACCAACUCACCUACACAAGGCAUUUUGUAAAGGGCAUAGCAGCCGUGGCAGUUUGUCUUGAAACAGCAAUGGUAAUCUCCGUAUUUUGACUUUUUUCUCAAAAAUGAUCACCAAUAAUUUUUUUCUUAACAUGGCCUUAAGACUCCGUCAUACAGAGGGGAGAAACAUAAAGACCAAUGAAAACUGAAACAUCACAGCUUCAUUUUCUGUUGGAGUUUCUUUAAUAAGUGACUAAAAGAUUGAUCAGCUGUCAAAAUAGUUGGCUGUAUAUCUUUUCGAUGCAUGCGUUUUAAAAUUCAGUGACACUUAUCUAAGCCAUCGGGUGACUUAUGAAGCUACAAGCACAUUUACAAUUUUUCUGUCAGGCAGCACGAACCGUCUCUUUUAAAAAUGGAAUUUUCCUGCUUGAAAAUGUCUGCCGUUAAAAUUCUCAAACCACCAAUGAGAUACUGAGAAAACAGUUUGACGUUUGUUCUUAUUUUUCCAUUCACACAAACACAAAAAAGAACAAUCAAAGAAUAACCGUGUGAUCAUGUUUUGUCUAGGCAGACGAAUAACCAGACCUUACCAUUUCAUGUCUAACCACUAGAAACUUGUGCUAGAGCUUGGUUUGUAAUGAACCUGCCUCUCUAACCCACAGCUACUGGGGAGGAGCUGAAAGAGUCUACUGUAUAACAUCAAUCAAUGAUGUGAAUUCUCAGACAAGUAAAUCCUAAAGCUGACUAUACAAAGGGAAAAAUGUGCUACUGAAGAGUUAUUAUAGCAUACUGUAAUCUGAAACUUGUAAAUGUAUUAGUAACUUUAGUUAUAAAGCACCAAUGAUGACAAUCCAGUUUUAAUUAAAAUUCUUUUAUUAGUUAAGUCUAUUGUCUUUCUACACCAUACAAACACCCAUUAUAAUUUUCACUGAAAAUAAAAUCCUCAUGUACAAAAAUCUACCUCCCAACCAAACUCUCACAGUACCAACAAGGGCCACUGGAAUUACAUUUAAAACAAAAGUCUGCAAUCUGUACACAAAA